GCGAAGGUGGCGAAAUUGGUAGACGCACCAGGUUUAGGUCCUGGCGCCGCAAGGUGUGGGGGUUCGAGUCCCCCCCUUCGCA
RNAcentral lists this transfer RNA (82 nucleotides) under Burkholderiaceae bacterium. RNAcentral's name for it is "tRNA-Leu". It matches the Rfam family "tRNA". Rfam says of the family: Transfer RNA (tRNA) molecules are approximately 80 nucleotides in length. Their secondary structure includes four short double-helical elements and three loops (D, anti-codon, and T loops). The record is from RNAcentral. Lineage: Bacteria; Pseudomonadati; Pseudomonadota; Betaproteobacteria; Burkholderiales; Burkholderiaceae.